GAAAUGCGAUAAGUAAUGUGAAUUGCAGAAUUCAGUGAAUCAUCGAAUCUUUGAACGCACCUUGCGCUCCUUGGUAUUCCUUGGAGCAUGCCUGUUUGAAUAUCAUGAAAUCUUCAAAGUAAAUCUUUUGUUAACUCAAUUGGUUUCUACUUUGGUAUUGGAGGUCUUUGCAGCUUCACACCUGCCCCUCUUUGUUCAUUAGCUGGAUCUCAGUGUUAUGCUUGGUUCCACUCGGCGUGAUAAGUUAUCUAUCGCUGAGGACACUGUAAAAGGUGGCCAAGGUAAAUGCAGAUGAACCGCUUCUAAUAGUCCAUUGACUUGGACAAUACUUUUAUGAUCUGAUCUCAAAUCAGGUAGGACUACCCGCUGAACUUAAGC
This 378-nucleotide unclassified non-coding RNA is filed under the name plant metagenome. Its description in RNAcentral is "partial contains 5.8S ribosomal RNA, internal transcribed spacer 2, and large subunit ribosomal RNA". The stretch from base 1 to 105 matches the Rfam family "5.8S ribosomal RNA", at positions 50 to 154 of the family's 154-position model. The record is from RNAcentral.